GUGGGGAAUAUUGGACAAUGGGGGGAACCCUGAUCCAGCCAUGCCGCGUGUGUGAAGAAGGCCUUUUGGUUGUAAAGCACUUUAAGCGAGGAGGAGGCUACCGAGAUUAAUACUCUUGGAUAGCGGACGUUACUCGCAGAAUAAGCACCGGCUAACUCUGUGCCAGCAGCCGCGGUAAUACAGAGGGUGCAAGCGUUAAUCGGAUUUACUGGGCGUAAAGCGCGCGUAGGUGGCCAAUUAAGUCAAAUGUGAAAUCCCCGAGCUUAACUUGGGAAUUGCAUUCGAUACUGGUUGGCUAGAGUAUGGGAGAGGAUGGUAGAAUUCCAGGUGUAGCGGUGAAAUGCGUAGAGAUCUGGAGGAAUACCGAUGGCGAAGGCAGCCAUCUGGCCUAAUACUGACACUGAGGUGCGAAAGCAUGGGGAGCAAACAGGAUUAGAAACCCCGGUAGUCC
Molecule: ribosomal RNA, 451 nt
Filed under: uncultured bacterium
Lineage: Bacteria
Description: partial 16S ribosomal RNA
Rfam family: Bacterial small subunit ribosomal RNA
Source: RNAcentral